GAUGAACGCUAGCGGCAGGCUUAAUACAUGCAAGACGAACGGCAAGAUUUUUAGCAAUAAGAAUCCCAGAGUGUCGUAAGGGUGCGUAACACGUAUGCAAUCUGCCCUCAACAGGAGGAUAGCUCCCGAAAGGGGAAUUAACACUCCAUAAGAUCAUGGAAUGGCAUCAUUCAGUGAUUAAAACUACGGUGGUUGAGGAUGAGCAUGCGCAUGAUUAGUUAGUUGGCGGGUAACGCCACCAAGACGAUGAUCAUUAGGGGAACUGAGAGGUUGACUCCCCCACACUGGCACUGAGAUACGGGCCAGACUCC
Molecule: ribosomal RNA, 311 nt
Filed under: uncultured bacterium
Lineage: Bacteria
Description: bacterial SSU rRNA
Rfam family: Bacterial small subunit ribosomal RNA
Source: RNAcentral